GUUAGGGCACUCUCAUCCCUGUGGGGUGCUUUUUGCUGUGGGGGAAACUAGUCCCCAGGAGGGCCUGCGAGGACCCAUGACCCAAGAAUGUAUAUACAGGAUGUGCCCUCCCCUGGCAUCUCAUGCUCCCCCUGCCUCUGAGCUUUGUACUCACUGUUCUUUAGCCUGAAAUGGCCUUCUUGACUCUCAUCCUGGAGGUCCAGCCCUGAGCCCCCUCUGUAGAGCUGCCUGCCACGACGUGUGUCCGCGGUGCCUGGCCUACCCCUCCAGGACAGCAUGUAGUGUGGCAUGGCAAUGGUCUGUGCAUCUUAUUUCCCAUGAGGUUGCAGGCUCUGGAGAGCAGGGACUAGGUAGGCUUUUCUCUGUCCCCAGGGCCUAUUCCCCAAAGAAGCGAUGGCACAAAAGCAGGCCUCAGCCAGGAUGGCAAGCUGGACUACCCUCCAGGCUGCAAAUCCCACUGGACUCAUUAGCUUCCCUCCACACCAUGAUCUCACAGUGCCCCAAAUUCCAUGGCAACCGUGAGCUGCUGGGCCCUGAGCACCGCAGCCUGGGUGUGCAGACUCCCAAAGAUGCAGCUCCUAGCCCGGGCUGCCUACGGUCAGCUGCCAGGGCUGAGUAGCCCCAUGCAGCCAGGCUGGCUGCAGCCUAACGGAUUUGACCUGGCUGUGGUGUGGUGAGGACAUUCCAGGGCCCCCGGAGGCCCACUGACAGUUCCCAGAUAGGGCAAGGUGGGGAGGUGAAGGCCAUUCAAAUGACCACAAUGACCACUGGGGAGCAAGGGGCAACUGGUCCCCGCCCAGGGCAGCUGUGAGAACAGGAAACCUGCCUCGCACAUCUGGCACAGUACAUGGCUGAGCAUUGGAGUGUCUCAAUCGAAUGAUCAAUUCUCUGGCCACUUGUCAUGACCGGCAGUAAACUAACAAACAGGAACAGGCUAGAACAAAGAGGAAAGUGGAGAUGCACGGCACACGGCAAGAUUUGCAGAGAAGCUGCCAAGAUAAUAAAGUUCCUGUGAACCCUUCAUGCAGCUUCUCCUCAGUCUGGCAUUUAUCAAACUGAAGACAUUAACGCUGAGCCAAUGAACUAAUUCCAGACUUUCUUCAGCCUUGCUGUUUUCCCACUAACGUCCUUCUGCUCCAGGAUCCCAUACUGUACUUAGUCACCAUGUUGUUGAUUGAUUUUUAAUCAUUAAGUUAUAUAUUUAAGCUCCUUUGGGCAAGAGAAAAAAAAAUGAAAAGCCA
Canis lupus familiaris (dog) is the source of this 1241-nucleotide long non-coding RNA. RefSeq lists it as uncharacterized. The transcript has 4 exons. Lineage: Eukaryota; Metazoa; Chordata; Mammalia; Carnivora; Canidae. The record is from RefSeq and is a predicted model, not a curated record.